Molecule: long non-coding RNA, 1243 nt
Filed under: Salmo salar (Atlantic salmon)
Lineage: Eukaryota; Metazoa; Chordata; Actinopteri; Salmoniformes; Salmonidae
Description: lncRNA (ENSSSAG00000092836.1)
Source: RNAcentral
CUGGCAAAUGGCAUAACUAUUAAUCCAUUACAUUUUUCAACAAUAAGUAGUUUGUCUAUAUGGCUGGUUAGAUUGAGAGGUGAGGCAGAAAAAAAAACAGUUUUGCAGCGCACGCGCGCCCAGCUCCAUGGAGGCGCACUUCCGUCCACGCGCACGUCAGCAGGUGCAGACAGAGAGAAGUGGGGUCUCGUGGCUUCAUCAUCACUGCAUCAAAAUAACACCGGUAUAUAAUACUUUUACAUCAAUAUAACAUUCUCAGAAGAUGGUAGCAAAACAAAGGAUCCGUAUGGCAAACGAAAAGCACAGCAAAAACAUCACGCAGAGAGGAAACGUUGCAAAGACCCUGGUGAGGCGACGCUUUUCUUCAGGCUGUGUGGGUUCCAUCGUCAGACGAAAGGAGCGACCUCAGGAGGAGAAGUACCCCGUGGGGCCCUGGCUCCUGGCUCUGUUCGUCUUCGUCGUCUGUGGAUCAGCCAUUUUUCAGAUCAUCCAGAGCAUCAGGAUGGGAAUGUGAUCCAGAGGCCCCACCAGACUCCCCUUUCCCCCUCACCAGACCUGGGGCUGCUCGCUACCCUACGUCCCUAACACCUCCAGGAGGCCCGACUCAGGACAGCUCUUUGUCCAUCAGGGAAGGCCUGGGAGAGGAAUGGACCACCCUUCCCCCCUGCCGUCCUCGAUCACGUUUACAGAGUUCCAGGCAGGAAGAUGAAAGCUUUUCUACUGACAGUUUGAACCACAACAACUGGCUGGAUGAACCUUGUACAGUGUGUCUUAUACCUGCUCAUAUGUGUGAGUGUUUGUGUGUAUGAGAGAGUGUGUGCAGUCCAAGAUGUGACUGGCUGCUGACAAUGUGCCAUACUGCUGUGUUUCUAUAUUUAUCUGUGUUGCGUGAGAACCUUUUUUUAAAUAAAUGUGACUUUGUUUGGGAAAUGUCUGGUUUCAGUUCCACUUUGGCUGCUCCUAUCCCAGUGCAUGUUGUCCGCAAAUUAAGCCUGUUUACAGUGUGGUUAAUUUGGGGAUUCCUAGCUAUUUGUUUCCUGGUGUGUGUACAGUACGUGUGUUAUAUACAGUGCAAUCGGAAAGUAUUCAGACCACGCAACUUUUUCCACAUUGUUACGUUACAGCCUUAUUCUAAAUAAAAAAUAAAAAAAUUAUCCUCAGCAAUCUACACACAAUACCCCAUAAUGACAAAGCGAAAAUUGGUUUUAAUACAUUUUUGCUAAUUUAAUUACAAAUAAAAAAC